GUUUUAGUAGCUUAGCCUCAAAGCACUGGUCUUGUAAGCCAGAGACGGGGGAUCCCCUCCCCCUAAAACA
This 70-nucleotide transfer RNA is filed under the name Anguis fragilis (Slow worm). RNAcentral describes it as "tRNA-Thr". It matches the Rfam family "tRNA". From Rfam's summary of the family: Transfer RNA (tRNA) molecules are approximately 80 nucleotides in length. Lineage: Eukaryota; Metazoa; Chordata; Lepidosauria; Squamata; Anguidae. The record is from RNAcentral.